This 232-nucleotide ribosomal RNA is filed under the name uncultured bacterium. RNAcentral describes it as "partial 16S ribosomal RNA". It matches the Rfam family "Bacterial small subunit ribosomal RNA", at positions 28 to 260 of the family's 1533-position model. The record is from RNAcentral.
GACGAACGCUGGCGGCGUGCUUAACACAUGCAAGUCGAGCGGUAAGGCCCUUUCGGGGGUACGACGAGCGGCGAACGGGUGAGUAACACGUGGGUGACCUGCCCUCAGCUCUGGGAUAAGCCUGGGAAACCGGGUCUAAUACUGGAUAUGACUCCAUGACGCAUGUUGUGGGGUGGAAAGCCUUGUGCGGCUGAGGAUGGGCCCGCGGCCUAUCAGCUUGUUGGUGGGGUGA